Molecule: long non-coding RNA, 1242 nt
Filed under: Equus asinus (donkey)
Lineage: Eukaryota; Metazoa; Chordata; Mammalia; Perissodactyla; Equidae
Description: lncRNA (ENSEASG00005036973.1)
Source: RNAcentral
AACCAGACAACUGAGGCUUGGUGAGGGGUAAUUUAGUUGCCAAUGGGUUACACAGUAAGAUGACACAUCUAGAACUCCAGCUCAGGCCAGGGUGCCAAAUUUGUGUUCUCAUCCCCAGAUUAUGUUGCCUCAUUGCAAAACUCAGAUUAUUCCAUGGAAAAACAGCAUCUCUGGAAUUCCCAUAUAGGAGAGCUUUAGGGAAUGAUAGCCUCGUUUGCAGGGAAGUGCACUCAUGGCUUGAGACCGUGUUCACAUAUCAAGCUGCAUUAACUGAGCAAGAACCGAUUACCUUGUCAAAGAAGAGAAAGCAGACUGAGGGCUAUCAUGGGAGGAAGAGGAGGUGGCUAGAACUCUUCAAGCUACUCCCUGGCAUAGUCACACAAGGGAAUUUGAGCAUGGCAUCCCAAGUGUAGCCAUCUCUAAGAUUUAACCACUUUUGAAUCUUUCCCUUAUGAAAUCUUGGCAACUUCCAUUUUCCAACAAUUUUAAGAUCCUUCUCAAAUUUUAGUCCUUCCUAAGCCACAAGAGACUCCAAAAGCUAUAGCUCUAAUAGUUGACAUCGUUUAUCCAUAACCUACAUUCCUCCAAGAGUGAAAUAACCUCAUUGACAGAAUGAUCUAAGUGGAUGAGCAGAUAAGGGGCCAUCCACAUUCUCCCUCAUCUCCAAACCAUACCAACAGUCUCCAAAAGCUCCCUAAUAUCAAGAUGGGUAUGCAAGUUACAGGUAAGAUGGAGUAUAAACAAAAGUUAGACUCUUGGAACAAUGAAGCUAUUAAGUGUUACAUCACUUGACAUUCAGUGAAGCAGGGAUUCUUGAUAUUGCACAUCUGCAAAACCCAACACCUUUUGAAUUAGAACAUUUUGAAUUUUGCUUUCUAUCAAGAGACCCAUGCAUAAGAAAUUCAGAUCUGGAACCCAUUUAUAUUGCAGAAAGAUAACCAUAGCUUUACAGGAUAAACCUGUAACUGGCUAGCAAUGAAGGAUUGAAGGUGAGGCUUUUUUUUUAAAUAUAGCAUUCCUUGAUUUAUUUUGGCUGUUAUCUCCUGAGCCUUCCAUGAGCCUUUAGUCUUCUUUCAUUCUGAUCAACAUACUCAUGUGAAACUAGUAUCCCUAUUAGGAAAGUUAUUAAAACAAGACACGGUAGUUUAGUUACGUUACCCCUUCUGAGUAACUUUGCUGUCAAUCCAACCUAGAUUAAGUUAAGAAGCAAACUCACUUGUCACAUUAACUGAGCACUUGAAG